GAUGAAGAACGUAGCGAAAUGCGAUACGUAAUGUGAAUUGCAGAAUUCAGUGAAUCAUCGAAUCUUUGAACGCAUAUUGCGCUCUCUGGUAUUCCGGAGAGCAUGCUUGUUUGAGUAUCAGUAAACACCUCAACUCCCUUUUCUUUUUUGAAAUGGGAGCUGGACUUGAGUGAUCCCAACACUUUUCUCACUGGAAAGUGGCGGGUCACUUGAAAUGCAGGUGCAGCUGGACUUUUCUCUGAGCUAUAAGCAUAUCUAUUUAGUCUGCCUAAAAAACAGAUUAUUACCUUUGCUGCAGCUAACAUAAAGGAGAUGAGUUCUUGUGCUGACUGAUGCAGGAUUCACAGAGACAGCUUUGCGGCUGACUUUGUAAACUCGAUCUCAAAUCAAGUAAGACUACCCGCUGAACUUAAGCAUAUCGAUAAGCGGAGGA
Molecule: unclassified non-coding RNA, 433 nt
Filed under: soil metagenome
Description: partial contains 5.8S ribosomal RNA, internal transcribed spacer 2, and large subunit ribosomal RNA
Rfam family: 5.8S ribosomal RNA (bases 1-120)
Source: RNAcentral